AGCCCUAUGUUAUUAUUUAGGGUUGUCCCUGCUCAAUGGUUUACUAAAUAGCCGCAGUACCUUGACUGUGCAAAGGUAGCAUAAUCAAUUGGCUUAUAAUUGAAGUCUAGCAUGAAAGGGUUUUCGGAAUUUGACUGUCUUAAAAAUAAUGAUUAGAAUUUACUAAAUAAGUGAAAAUUCUUAUAUAUAGAAACUAGACGAGAAGACCCUAGAAAUUUUUUUAAAAAUUUAAGAAAAUUAUUUUGUUGGGG
Molecule: ribosomal RNA, 251 nt
Filed under: Xerocampylaea serbica
Lineage: Eukaryota; Metazoa; Mollusca; Gastropoda; Stylommatophora; Hygromiidae
Description: Semifruticicola serbica partial 16S ribosomal RNA
Source: RNAcentral